RNAcentral lists this ribosomal RNA (367 nucleotides) under uncultured archaeon. Its description in RNAcentral is "bacterial SSU rRNA". It matches the Rfam family "Archaeal small subunit ribosomal RNA", at positions 458 to 825 of the family's 1478-position model. The record is from RNAcentral.
UCAGCCGCCGCGGUAAUACCAGCUCUCCGAGUGGUGUGGAUGUUUAUUGGGCCUAAAGCAUCCGUAGCUGGCUGAGUUAGUCCCUUGUUAAAUCCACCGAAUUAAUCGUUGGAUUGCGGGGGAUACUGCUCGGCUAGGGGACGAGAGAGGCAGACGGUAUUUCUGGGGUAGGGGUGAAAUCCUAUAAUCCCAGGAGGACCACCAGUGGCGAAGGCUGUCUGCUAGAACGCGCCAGACGGUGAGGGAUGAAAGCUGGGGGAGCGAACCGGAUUAGAUACCCGGGUAGUCCCAGCUGUAAACGAUGCAGACUAGGUGUUUGGACGGCCACGUGCCGUUCUAGUGCCGCAGGGAAGCUGUUAAGUCUGCC